CCUUCUCUGUUCCCUGCCUUUUUACCACUCAUAUAUAAACUCUGUUCUUCCCGUUGAUUUCACAAACAUCGAGCACAGGAAUCCUAAAUCACAGACUCCUGCCGAAUUUGCAAUCUCUGCAAACAGAGUUGAAAUUACAGGGAGAGCUUUCGAUCUGAGCUCUCGCUACGAGUCCCGUAGUGGGCUUGUGUUUUAUGAAUGGUGUGCUCAGAAGCGAGGGCAGGUCAGCGAGUGCCGAAGGCGAUGGCGAUGGGAUACGAAAGAACAAGGCCGCUUCACAAUUUCACGCUUCCUUGCUUGAAGUGGGGCAACCAGAAGCACCUUCGGUGCCAGAAAGUCGAGGAAUUACACAAUCAAACAGUCUCGGCUGCCUCCAGCGAUCGUAAACGAAGAUCUCCACCAUCCAAUUCCUCCAUGGAUUCCCUUCGUGCAUUGGAUGUCGGUCGGCUCAAUAUUCCAAAGCCGAUUGGCGGCGAUGGCAAGGAGGAUGCGAAUGGGGUCGUGGGGGAGAUUGGCAUGAUUGAUCUGGUGAACGCCUUGUCUGGUUCUGAACAGGAUUCUGUGGGAGAGGGACAAAACGGUGCAUCCAAGUUGGUGAAUGGGCAGAGAAAGCAGGAACCUUCUGCCGCGGUGGCGCAGGUGGAUGAGGCGCGACCGUGGAAUCUGAGGACCAGGCGGUCCGCCUGUAAGGCACCGAUCAUUGAGGACGCCGUUGGUUCUGGAAACGGAUUAAGGAUCGAGAGGAAGCAAAAUUAUGAAUCGCCCUUGAGGAGUGAAAGCGCCAAGUCGCCGAGGGUUGGCGGCACUGGAGAGAAGGAGAAGGAGAGGGCUAAGUUCUCGAUUCAGCUCACGAAGAAGGAGAUCGAACAUGAUUUCAUGGCGUUAGUGGGCCAUCGUCCGAUGAAGUGUUUUUGGGUUUCUGAUAUUGUGUACUCAUGUUGCAGUCGCUCUUUCCGGGUGUGUGGUUGAGGGAAGUGACGGCUGAUAUGUACAAGGUGGAGGAAAAUCCAGAAAGCGGGAAGAGGUAGUCAUGGAGGAACAUUAGAUUUUCAAGGAUUAGCUGACUCAUGUGGGACUUCUGGUGGAGCUAAUUAGUGGUACACUGAAGUUCUGCACCAUCUCUGUGAAAUGGGAAUUUGAUGCAAGUGUUGAAUUCCCUGUUUUCACUAUGUGGUGUAAGUUCAGUUGCUUUGAAAUACUGUUUUUGUUCAUUAAUCAUUGUUUAAUUUUUCUUUAUUUUUACUAGAGAAUAAUUUGUCCAAAGAAAGGGUGUUCUAUGAGCUCAAUUGUUUGAGAACAGUUAAUAAGCUCUCUUGAAUUUUAAUAAAUCUAUUUCUGGGUUUUUUUUAAA
Molecule: RNA transcript, 1351 nt
Organism: Tripterygium wilfordii
Lineage: Eukaryota; Viridiplantae; Streptophyta; Magnoliopsida; Celastrales; Celastraceae
Exons: 3
Source: RefSeq, a predicted model, not a curated record